Molecule: ribosomal RNA, 253 nt
Filed under: uncultured bacterium
Lineage: Bacteria
Description: partial 16S ribosomal RNA
Rfam family: Bacterial small subunit ribosomal RNA
Source: RNAcentral
UACGGAGGGUGCAAGCGUUAAUCGGAAUUACUGGGCGUAAAGCGUGCGCAGGCGGUUUGUUAAGUCUGCUGUGAAAUCCCCGAGCUCAACUUGGGAAUUGCAGUGGAUACUGGCAAGCUGGAGUACGGUAGAGGAAGGUGGAAUUCCCGGUGUAGCAGUGAAAUGCGUAGAGAUCGGGAGGAACACCAGUGGCGAAGGCGGCCUUCUGGACGGUGACUGACGCUGAGGCGCGAAAGCGUGGGGAGCAAACGGG